Long non-coding RNA from Homo sapiens (human), 391 nucleotides. RefSeq lists it as uncharacterized. The transcript is spliced from 3 exons. The record is from RefSeq and is a predicted model, not a curated record. NCBI's taxonomy places the organism in Eukaryota, Metazoa, Chordata, Mammalia, Primates, Hominidae.
AAAUUAUCCAAGAACUGAAACUCACCAGAUCACCACAUCCUUUCAACUUAUGGCCCAAGAAAAUAGAAGUCAGAAUCAAAAUCCAGCAUGCAGAACUUGUUGUAAAACAUGGCAGUACAGAAAUCAGGAUUUGCAAGAAGGGGGUACAUGAGAAUAGCAAAAGGCAGAGAAAGUGAACCAAGUCUAUUGUUAGAUACAAGCCGAUAAGAAACUAAUGAAAGCUCUGAGAUUCAUGAAUGCUGUCAGAAGACACAAGACCCUGGGCUCAGAAAAAGGUAACUUGAUUACCUAUGGCUAGAAGGCACCACGGAUUUUAUGUUUGUACCAGUCCCCUCAGUCCCAUGGACCUAUAUGGAUGCUGAGAACAUAGGGAGUUUGUAACACGUGUGGU